This 1536-nucleotide long non-coding RNA is filed under the name Homo sapiens (human). Its description in RNAcentral is "non-protein coding SOX21-AS1:2". The record is from RNAcentral. Lineage: Eukaryota; Metazoa; Chordata; Mammalia; Primates; Hominidae.
UCUUCUUGGCUCCGGGCAGGGUGCGCCGAUGGGAAACCCCCAAUCGGCUGGGUGAUUUUUUUUUUUUGGAGGGGGGAGCUGUCCCCCGCAGCACCUGCCUCUCGAGUCUUCCUCUCCCGCUGCUGGACUGACGGGUGGGGCGAGGAAGGAGGGUGGAUGAGGCUUGAGCAAGCGUUGGUCGCCCGGCCUCAGAGGAAGUUCUCCCGGCUCGCCGAGGAGCCGCGUCCGGCCGUCCCCUGGGCCAUGCCGGCUCUGUUCGCUCCGAGCCCCUUCAGGCGCGCCUGCCGACUUAGGGCUCCCGGAGCUCGCCGGCCGCGGAGGGCAGCGCAGCCUCCACGCGGCGCCGCAGGCCUGGCACCGGCCGCGUCCCCGCCUCGCUCUUCUCGGCAGCCGCCUGGCACUUGCAACUAACUUCGCCCAAGUUUCCUGCGCCGCGGCGCCCCUCUCGGCGCGCUCCUGGGAGCGUGCGCCCGCGAGUCCGCCGCGCCCGGGGCCCCUCUGUCCUCGCUGCUGUGGCCAGAGCCGAGCCGGCGCAGGGGCGGAGGUGCUGCAGGAGAGUUAAGGAAAACGGGCCAUCACCUCAGUUCGCAGGUCCGCGCUGUGGCACCUCCCGCUCUCCCCACUCCCGCGGCGCAGGGGGCCCCUUCCCAGCCCAGGCCGCCCUCUGCACCGGCUCAGGUUUAGGCGAGUGGAGAGUCCGGAGCGCGCCGGGGAGUCUGCGCCCUGUUUGGCGUUGGCAAACCCUGGUGUCAUCCCGGCUACCCAGGCCGGCCUGGCGUGCAGCUGCCCUGGUUGUGGCCCUGGAAUCCUCGCCGGGAGGAAGAAGGCGGCGGGCACGAGUAGGAGAGCCUCUCCAGCUACGGAGGAAGAGGGUUAAACCUGGAGAAGGGGAGACUCACCCUUGAAAAUGUUUGAGACUGUUCCUAGCAAGAAAGUGCUCAUUUUCCUUGGAGGUCCAGGUGUUGCUUGCAACAGAAACAGAGGCUUCUCGCAUUUUCUUGCACUGGCGAUGCACCUAGUCAGAGGUAGUGGAGUGAAAAAUAACUCUGGAGGGAAUAAGGACAUUCUUGGCAACCUUUCCAAAAAAGAGCUAGCCCAGACUGAGAGUAUGCAUCCUUGACUGACUAUUCAGCUCUUUAAAAAUUCUGUGUUGUUUGUCUUUUGUUGUAAUCUUGGUCGCCAGAACCAUCUAUAUACUGAUCUCUUUAAGGUACAGUUAACUUACAGUGUCUCACUUACAUGCGCUGCUGAGGUGAAGGUGUUUAAAAUCAAUAAGUGUAAGUAGUUUCCCUGGAAGAGAGAAGUAAAACGUACCAAUCACUCAGUGCUGGAAUAUUUUUAUGCUAAGCAUAAUUUCCUUCUUUAGUAGUUAGAGCAGUUUUUUAAAAAAAAUAGUUAACACGAUGCAGAAGUCAAACAGCAUGAUUCUGUUUCCGUAUUUUCCUCACUUUUUGGUAUGCUGCGGCACAUUUAGAACAUGAUCUGUCUGGAGGUUUUAUUCACAUGGUGGCCUGCCCUUCAGGGAGAACUUGCUUG